AAGAUCAUACUUCACAGGAUCAUUUCUGUAGUAUAUCUUCACACAUUCUCAACUCAAAUUGAGAGUGGUUGCAACUUCGACGAUGAGGCGAAGUUUCGUUUCUUGAGCGUGAGGCAGGCUUUCAGAAUAUUUUCUUAAUGUUCUCUAUAGCCAUCGAUGAUCGUUCACCUGGCAUUAAAUCCCAGGUUACGGAAACGGAACAUUCUGAGAGGU
Small nucleolar RNA from Harmonia axyridis, 213 nucleotides. RefSeq annotates it as small nucleolar RNA U3. Lineage: Eukaryota; Metazoa; Arthropoda; Insecta; Coleoptera; Coccinellidae. The record is from RefSeq and is a predicted model, not a curated record. The transcript has a single exon.